RNAcentral lists this ribosomal RNA (1926 nucleotides) under Myxobolus iquitoensis. RNAcentral's name for it is "SSU rRNA". It matches the Rfam family "Eukaryotic small subunit ribosomal RNA". The record is from RNAcentral. Lineage: Eukaryota; Metazoa; Cnidaria; Myxozoa; Bivalvulida; Myxobolidae.
GCCAUGCAUGUGCCAGUUCAUACAUUUAAAUGUGAGACUGCGGACGGCUCAGUAUAUCAGUUAUAAUCUAUUCGAAAAUAACCCCAUUGGAUAACCGUGGGAAAUCUAGAGCUAAUACAUAUGCAAAAGGCGGCGUGGCAACACGUUGUCGGCAUUUAUUAGAAAAAACCAAAUGCCGCCUUGUUGGCAACAGCCGGGCGGUAGGGUGAAUCUAGAUAACUGAGCAAAUCGCAUGGCCUUGAGCCGGCGAUGUUUCGAUUGAAUUUCUGCCCUAUCAACUCGUUGGUAAGGUAGUGGCUUACCAAGGUUGCAACGGGUAACGGGGAAUCAGGGUUCGAUUCCGGAGAGGGAGCCUGAGAAACGGCUACCACAUCCAAGGAAGGCAGCAGGCGCGCAAAUUACCCAAUCCAGACCAUGGGAGGUAGUCACCAGAAGUACUGGGUAGAAGACAAAGUCUUUUAACCCGGAAUGAGCAUAAUGUAAAUAUUUAGUCGAGUAACAACUGGAGGGCAAGUCUGGUGCCAGCAGCCGCGGUAAUUCCAGCUCCAGUAGCAUGUCGUAAAGUUGUUGCGUUUAAAACGCUCGUAGUUGGAUCAUACGGUGCCGAGCAGUUGGCCCGUCUCCAGCUGCAAAAAAUCCCAAAUCCGGUAGUUACCUCUGGUUAAUUCCACGUAGCUCCCGGGUUUGUGGAGUAGUAGGGGACUGGCUAUUGGCUGCCCGGCACUACUUGCACGUGAGAAUGGAGAUUAGCCUUAAAUGAGCCGAUCUUUGUGUCUCACGGAGUGUGCCUUGAAUAAAUCAGAGUGCUUAAAGCAGGCUUUUGCUUGAAUGAUACAGCAUGGAACGAACAAACGUGUAACGUGUCCGGGCGAUUGUUAGUUUCUAGCAGUCGUCCGGGCAUAUCACCAACCACCAAAACGGAUGUUGGUUUCCGUAUUGGGGUGAUGAUUAAAACGAGCGGUUGGGGGCAUUGGUAUUUGGCAGCGAGAGGUGAAAUUCUUAGACCGGCCAAGGACUAACAAAAGCGAAGGCAUUUGCCAAGACCGUCUCGAUUGAUCAAGAACGAUAGUGAGAGGUUCGAAGACGAUCAGAUACCGUCCUAGUUCUCACCGUAAACUAUGCCGACCCGGGAUCAGUUUAGAGCUAAUACAAACGCUCGAGGUUGGUCCCCCUGGGAAACCUAAAGUUUUUGGGUUACGGGGGGAGUAUGGUCGCAAGGCUGAAACUUAAAGGAAUUGACGGAAGGGCACCACCAGGGGUGGAGCCUGCGGCUUAAUUUGACUCAACACGGGAAAACUCACCAGUUCCGGACGUCAAAAGGAUAGACAGACUGAUAGAUCUUUCUUGAUAUGAUGUGUGGUGGUGCAUGGCCGUUCUUAGUUCGUGAUGUGAAUUGUCAGGUUGAUUCCGGUAACGGACGAGAUCAUAAUCUCCAUUUACGAUGUAGUACGGAGGGCGGCAACGCUCUCUCAAGCGCUAGAAUCCGACUGAAGAUCAUUCGGAGGUUGGAUUUUGGUGUUUUCAUACUAUAAUGCCACUUGUAGCAAUACAGGUGGUUGCAUGGAGAGACAACUGACUAUAAUUAUAAAAUCAGAGGAAGUAUGGCAAUAACAGGUCUGUGAUGCCCUUAGACGUACUGGGCUGCACGCGCGCUACAAUGAUGACGACAAUGAGUUAUCUGGUCCGAAAGGAUUGGGAAAUCUGUCAAUCGUCAUCGUGAUGGGGAUUGUUCGUUGUAAUUCGGACAUGAAAUAGGAAUCCCUUGUACGUGCACUUCAUCUAAAGUGCAUGGAAUGGGUCCCUGCCCUUUGUACACACCGCCCGUCGCUACUACCGAGUGAAUGGUGUCAUGAUGCGUUGGGACUGGACGCCGUUCGGGUUCACGCUUGAAUGGUGCUGGGAUCAAUGUAAAAUGGCGCAAUUCGA